GAUGAACGCUGGCGGCGUGCCUAAUACAUGCAAGUCGAACGAGGUGCUUUUGUAGCAAUACGGAAGUAUCCUAGUGGCGAACGGGUGAGUAACGCGUUGGUGACCUGCCCCAAAGUGCGGGAUAACAGUCCGAAAGGAUUGCUAAUACCGCAUGUGGUCUCCGGGUUUAGAAACCGGUGACUAAAGCAGUAAUGCGCUUUGGGAGGGGCCUGCGUCCCAUCAGCUAGUUGGUGAGGUAACGGCUCACCAAGGCGACGACGGGUAGGGGACCUGAGAGGGUGGCCCCCCACAAUGGAACUGAAACACGGUCCAUACACCUACGGGUGGCAGCAGUAGGGAAUAUUGCACAAUGGGCGAAAGCCUGAUGCAGCAACGCCGCGUGUGCGAUGAAGGCCUUCGGGUCGUAAAGCACUUUUCUGAGAGAUGAGAAAGGACAGUAUCUCAGGAAUAAGUCUCGGCUAACUACGUGCCAGCAGCCGCGGUAACACGUAGGAGGCGAGCGUUAUCCGGAUUCACUGGGCGUAAAGCGCGUGCAGGCGGCUUGGUAAGUUGGGUGUGAAAUCUCCCGGCUCAACUGGGAGAAGUCGUCCAAUACUACCAGGCUAGAGAGCAGUAGAGGAAGAUGGAAUUCCCGGUGUAGUGGUGAAAUGCGUAGAUAUCGGGAGGAACACCAGUGGCGAAGGCGAUCUUCUGGACUAUUUCUGACGCUCAGACGCGACAGCUAGGGUAGCAAACGGGAUUAGAGACCCCGGUAGUCCUAGCCGUAAACGAUGUGAACUUGGCGUCGGUGGGUUAAACUCCAUCGGUGCCGCAGCCAACGCGAUAAGUUCACCGCCUGGGGACUACGGCCGCAAGGUUA
This 859-nucleotide ribosomal RNA is filed under the name uncultured bacterium. RNAcentral's name for it is "bacterial SSU rRNA". It matches the Rfam family "Bacterial small subunit ribosomal RNA", at positions 28 to 896 of the family's 1533-position model. The record is from RNAcentral.